GUGGGGAAUAUUGCGCAAUGGGGGGAACCCUGACGCAGCCAUGCCGCGUGAAUGAAGAAGGCCUUCGGGUUGUAAAGUUCUUUCGGUAUUGAGGAAGGGAUGUGUGCUAAUAGUACACGUCAUUGACGUUAAAUACAGAAGAAGCACCGGCUAACUCCGUGCCAGCAGCCGCGGUAAUACGGAGGGUGCGAGCGUUAAUCGGAAUAACUGGGCGUAAAGGGCACGCAGGCGGUUAUUUAAGUGAGAUGUGAAAGCCCCGGGCUUAACCUGGGAAUUGCAUUUCAGACUGGGUAACUAGAGUACUUUAGGGAGGGGUAGAAUUCCACGUGUAGCGGUGAAAUGCGUAGAGAUGUGGAGGAAUACCGAAGGCGAAGGCAGCCCCUUGGGAAUGUACUGACGCUCAUGUGCGAAAGCGUGGGGAGCAAACAGGAUUAGAAACCCUAGUAGUCC
RNAcentral lists this ribosomal RNA (450 nucleotides) under uncultured bacterium. Its description in RNAcentral is "bacterial SSU rRNA". It matches the Rfam family "Bacterial small subunit ribosomal RNA", at positions 354 to 796 of the family's 1533-position model. The record is from RNAcentral.